AGGGGUAUAGCUCGGUGGUAGAGCAUUCGACUGCAGAUCGAGAGAUCAUCCCGGUUCGAACCAGGAUGCUCCCU
Molecule: non-coding RNA, 74 nt
Organism: Trichonephila inaurata madagascariensis
Lineage: Eukaryota; Metazoa; Arthropoda; Arachnida; Araneae; Nephilidae
Source: the annotation of a GenBank genome assembly